Molecule: ribosomal RNA, 442 nt
Filed under: uncultured bacterium
Lineage: Bacteria
Description: partial 16S ribosomal RNA
Rfam family: Bacterial small subunit ribosomal RNA
Source: RNAcentral
CCUACGAGUGGCAGCAGUGGGGAAUAUUGGGCAAUGGGCGCAAGCCUGACCCAGCAACGCCGCGUGAAGGAAGAAGGCUUUCGGGUUGGAAACUUCUUUUGACAGGGAAGAGUAGAAGACGGUACCUGUCGAAUAAGCCACGGCUAACUACGUGCCAGCAGCCGCGGUAAUACGUAGGUGGCAAGCGUUGUCCGGAUUUACUGGGUGGAAAGGGCGUGUAGCCGGGUUGACAAGUCAGAUGUGAAAUCCUGCGGCUUAACCGCCGAACUGCAUUUGACACUGUUGAUCUUGAGUACUGGAGAGGCAGACGGAAUUCCUAGUGUAGCGGUGAAAUGCGUAGAUAGUAGGAGGAACACCAGUGGCGAAGGCGGUCUGCUGGACAGCAACUGACGGUGAGGCGCGAAAGCGUGGGGAGCAAACAGGAGUAGAUACCCCUGUAGUC